GGCGGGGUAGCUCAGGCGGUUAGAGCGCACGACUCAUAAUCGUGAGGUCGCGGGUUCGAUCCCCGCCCCCGCUACCG
RNAcentral lists this transfer RNA (77 nucleotides) under Nocardioides luteus. RNAcentral describes it as "tRNA-Met". It matches the Rfam family "tRNA". Rfam says of the family: Transfer RNA (tRNA) molecules are approximately 80 nucleotides in length. Their secondary structure includes four short double-helical elements and three loops (D, anti-codon, and T loops). The record is from RNAcentral. Lineage: Bacteria; Bacillati; Actinomycetota; Actinomycetes; Propionibacteriales; Nocardioidaceae.